RNAcentral lists this non-coding RNA (123 nucleotides) under Palpitomonas bilix. The record is from RNAcentral.
UUUUCCAACUUGAUUGCCAUUGGUUUCGGUGCCCUUUGGAUCUUGUAUGUUUAUAUUACCAACGAAUACGGAAUAGAUGCGGCCAAAAACGCGUUUGUGUAUUUUUGCCUCAUAUACAUCCUC